This 515-nucleotide ribosomal RNA is filed under the name uncultured bacterium. RNAcentral's name for it is "partial 16S ribosomal RNA". It matches the Rfam family "Bacterial small subunit ribosomal RNA", at positions 28 to 523 of the family's 1533-position model. The record is from RNAcentral.
GAUGAACGCUGGCGGCGUGCCUAAUACAUGCAAGUCGAGCGAAUGGAUUAAGAGCUUGCUCUUAUGAAGUUAGCGGCGGACGGGUGAGUAACACGUGGGUAACCUGCCCAUAAGACUGGGAUAACUCCGGGAAACCGGGGCUAAUACCGGAUAACAUUUUGAACCGCAUGGUUCGAAAUUGAAAGGCGGCUUCGGCUGUCACUUAUGGAUGGACCCGCGUCGCAUUAGCUAGUUGGUGAGGUAACGGCUCACCAAGGCAACGAUGCGUAGCCGACCUGAGAGGGUGAUCGGCCACACUGGGACUGAGACACGGCCCAGACGCAUACGGGAGGCAGCAGUAGGGAAUCUGCCGCAAUGGACGAAAGUCUGACGGAGCAACGCCGCGUGAGUGAUGAAGGCUUUCGGGUCGUAAAACUCUGUUGUUAGGGAAGAACAAGUGCUAGUUGAAUAAGCUGGCACCUUGACGGUACCUAACCAGAAAGCCACGGCUAACUACGUGCCAGCCGCCGCCAUAA